UGCAGUCACCUGCAAACCUGACAACAACUGACAAUAAGGAUAAACCAGAAGUGCAGUCACCUGCAAACCUGACAACAACUGACAAUAAGGAUAAACCAGAAGUGCAGUCACCUGCAAACCUGACAACAACUGACAAUAAGGAUAAACCAGAAGGAAACCCAGUGCAGUCACCUGCAAACCUGACAACAACUGACAAUAAGGAUAAACCAGAAGAAAACCCAGUGCAGUCACCUGCAAACCUGACAACAACUGACAAUAAAAAUAAACCAGAAG
Molecule: long non-coding RNA, 273 nt
Organism: Esox lucius (northern pike)
Lineage: Eukaryota; Metazoa; Chordata; Actinopteri; Esociformes; Esocidae
Exons: 5
Source: RefSeq, a predicted model, not a curated record